CAUGCUAAUUAACCCCCCCCCUCUCCCCCUCAGAGCCCGCCCGCUCCCCCGUGCUUUUCCCGCUCUACACCUGCCAGGACUGCGAGGAUCAGGUGACCUUCGCCUGCCUGGCUUCCGGUUUUUUCCCGUCGCCGGCCGAGAUCACGUGGGAGGGCGUGGCCGAGGGCGGGGCCAUCCGGGAGUUCCAGGAAGUGCUGAUGGGCGCCGGCCGCUACGACCGCAGCUCCCGGGUCACGGUGGGCGUGGCCGAGGCCGAGGGAGUGACCUUCCGGUGCCGGGCGGAGCAUCGGGGGAGCAGCGUCAGCAUCGACAUGGAAGGCUGCCCCCGCCCUCUCGUGGAUUUUUCCGUCUCCCUCCUGAGCGACCCCCAGCUGUCCCACCUGGAGCUGCCCCAGGUGCUCCUCCUCUGCCAGGUGAGGGGGCGGGGCUCCGACGAGGCCACCCUCACCUGGUUUGUCAACGGUGACGUCGCCGAGAUGGAGGCGGAGCUCUCCACCUGCGAGGAGGGCGGGGCCGGGGAGGUGACGCUGAGCGGCCGCGUCAACGUCAGCCGGGAAUUGUGGGAUGCGGGAGCCACCUUCACCUGCCAGGCGGGCCACGCCCAGCUGGCCACGCCCCGCAACGCCUCCAUCAGCACCUUCUGCAAAG
Non-coding RNA from Cyanistes caeruleus (blue tit), 648 nucleotides. The record is from the annotation of a RefSeq genome assembly. Lineage: Eukaryota; Metazoa; Chordata; Aves; Passeriformes; Paridae.